This 475-nucleotide transfer RNA is filed under the name Brucella intermedia. RNAcentral's name for it is "Ochrobactrum intermedium partial contains 16S rRNA, ITS1, tRNA-Ile, tRNA-Ala and 23S rRNA". The stretch from base 74 to 147 matches the Rfam family "tRNA". The record is from RNAcentral. Lineage: Bacteria; Pseudomonadati; Pseudomonadota; Alphaproteobacteria; Hyphomicrobiales; Brucellaceae.
GCCGGUCGGCCUUGCGAAGCUUUGCUUCGGGGGUGGACUUCUGGAUCGCGUAGCAGCGUUUGCGUCGGUAUCUGGGCUUGUAGCUCAGUUGGUUAGAGCACACGCUUGAUAAGCGUGGGGUCGGAGGUUCAAGUCCUCCCAGGCCCACCAUGUUACAUGAUAAGGGGCCGUAGUUCAGCUGGGAGAGCACCUGCUUUGCAAGCAGGGGGUCGUCGGUUCGAUCCCGUCCGGCUCCACCAUCGUGUUUUGGUGUAGAGACGGAUAUUGGCAAUCAACGAAAGAAAGAAACAAGUUUGCGGACUUUUAUGAAAGUCUGCCUGUUCUGUAUGAAAUCGUGAAGAGAAGAUGUAAUCGGAUCAACUAUCCAGUUGAUGUCGCAAGAGCUUGCUCAAGCCUUGCAUUAUGAUUGAUGUGUUUAACCGCCAUCACCGAUUGUAUCUCGAGAAGCUGGUCUUUCUGCUGAUACUGUUGAAGC